UUCCACCUCAAAUUUCAAGAUCCCGUCCUCCCCAUCGCUCAAUCGAAGUUCAUCAAUUCCUGCAAUGGAAUCCAGAAACUCAAAACGAAAAAAAAAAAAAACUAUACUUAUCACGUUCAAUGGAGAAAAGAAACAACCAUAAGCUUCUCACAAAGAUGGAGAAAAAACUCUAACUCUCGUUCACUUGAUAAGAGAUGAACCGUCGCAUGGCCCUUGCUCGUCUUGUUUCGAAAACCUAGUUUACCCAAAAACCCUAGCAGAGCCUUAUUUUAUAGUUUUAAUAACUAGACCAUCGACUCGUGCUUACACACGGGUCAUUGACAAUGAAAUAUAAAAUAAUAUGAGUGCAAUGACAUAGUUCAUUCCAUAAUGAAACAUCU
This 380-nucleotide long non-coding RNA is filed under the name Medicago truncatula (barrel medic). RNAcentral describes it as "long non-coding RNA (MTRU_LNC006376)". Lineage: Eukaryota; Viridiplantae; Streptophyta; Magnoliopsida; Fabales; Fabaceae. The record is from RNAcentral.